This 1044-nucleotide long non-coding RNA is filed under the name Scophthalmus maximus (turbot). Its description in RNAcentral is "lncRNA (ENSSMAG00000029375.1)". Lineage: Eukaryota; Metazoa; Chordata; Actinopteri; Pleuronectiformes; Scophthalmidae. The record is from RNAcentral.
AUGCGAGAUGCGUUUCGGGACUUGACCGCAGCAUCAUCUUCAAAAAUCAGGAGGAAAAAAAAGAAAAUACGGCCGCUUAUUGUGAUAUCGCUCCAACAAACCGACGCAAAACAGCCGAGCGUGAGGGCGCGCAAGCCGUCACCUGGGGCUGCGGCGUCCCGUCAUCCCGUCAUCACGCGGAGGAAUCGCAAUAGGUGUAAACAAGGAGGAAGUGAGGAGGAGGAGCUUCUGACUGAUUAAUAGUUCAUCAUUCAAUCACGAGCUCAAUUGACCUUCUGCACAUGCAGCUUCGUCGAGGCGUUGUGGGAGACAUCAAAAGUGCAUUUACUACUUUACAAGUAUGUCACAUUUAUUACAACAGGGUCAUGAUAUAAUGACGAGAGGGGGAAAUAAAUGUGACCUGUGGGGAGUCUGCUCUGAAGUUCAUCCGAUGAUGAUGACUUCAUUUUUUUGAGGGAAAUAUUGACGAGCGCAUAAUCUUCUUGUAAUCCAUUAUAAUGCAGUUUAAUGAAAGUAUUUAGAGGAAUUCCCAUUUUGCAUCAAAUGUGACUGAUUUAAAAUAGGAAAAGAAAAGAAAAAAUGCCCUUUACAAAAUAUUAAAAUCUGGAUUUGCACCAAAACGUAACCACUUGUUUCCUGGCACUUUUCAUUUUUCUACUUCAUUUAAUUGGAAACUGUUGACAGGUUUUUUUUUGUUGUUCUUUUUUUUUUACUCUGCUCCUGUAACAAAAAAAAGGCAAAACAAUAAUAGCAACCACGGUUUGUCCGCAGCCUGAAAAUAAGACGGUUCUUUUAUUUUGUAAUUUUUUUUCUAUCAGUGGAUGCUGAAACAAAUUAGCAGAGACACAAACACGAUCAUUUUUAUUUAUUUGAAUGUUUUUGCUUUGUUUGCACUCCUGUGACAACAGUGACUUUGCUCACAUGUUGAGGGGUUAGGAAUUCACUAUGAUUAGUCAGCAAGGUGAACAAUUAUUAAAUUUCACUCAGACGUCCUUAGACGUCAAUUCCAUAAACAUCAUAAGGAUUCAUGCGAUUGCACGUCCG